This 501-nucleotide ribosomal RNA is filed under the name uncultured bacterium. RNAcentral's name for it is "bacterial SSU rRNA". It matches the Rfam family "Bacterial small subunit ribosomal RNA", at positions 35 to 518 of the family's 1533-position model. The record is from RNAcentral.
GCUGGCGGCGUGCUUAACACAUGCAAGUCGAACGGAGAUUCAGCAAUGGAUCUUAGUGGCGAACGGGUGAGUAACGCGUAGGCAAUCUGCCUUCUAGAUGGGGACAACAUCCCGAAAGGGGUGCUAAUACCGAAUGUUGUAGUUGGUUCGCAUGGACUAGCUACUAAAGGUGGCCUCUGAAUAUGCUACCGCUAGAAGAUGAGCCUGCGUCUGAUUAGCUAGUUGGAGGGGUAACGGCCCACCAAGGCUUCGAUCAGUAGCCGGUCUGAGAGGAUGAACGGCCACACUGGGACUGAGACACGGCCCAGACUCCUACGGGAGGCAGCAGUGGGGAAUCUUCCGCAAUGGACGAAAGUCUGACGGAGCAACGCCGCGUGAAGUGAAGAAGGUUUUCGGAUCGUAAAGCUCUUUCGUCAGGGACGAACGUAUUUCUUGUAAAUAAUGAGAGAUAGUGACGGUACCUGAAUAAGAAGCCACGGCUAACUACGUGCCAGCCGCCGC